Molecule: unclassified non-coding RNA, 444 nt
Filed under: Malassezia globosa
Lineage: Eukaryota; Fungi; Basidiomycota; Malasseziomycetes; Malasseziales; Malasseziaceae
Description: sequence contains 18S rRNA gene, ITS1, 5.8S rRNA gene, ITS2, 28S rRNA gene
Rfam family: 5.8S ribosomal RNA (bases 1-88)
Source: RNAcentral
AUGUGAUUGCAGAUUCCGUGAAUCAUCGAAUCUUUGAACGCACCUUGCGCUCUAUGGUAUUCCGUAGAGCAUGCCUGUUUGAGUGCCAUGAAUUCUCCCAUCCCAAGCGGUUUUUAUCAGAGAAUUGCUAGGCGAAGGGGUCGAGAUGGGCGCUGCUAUCACUGCUUUUCAUCACUAGAUCACCUCACCCGAAUGACCGCCAUCACAUCUGUUGCACUCUGCUCCCUCUUCGCUAAGAGGAGAACCGGCCAAGCUCGCUCCGAGCAUCAGGCUGAUCAUGAUACUUCAAUUUCUACGAUGUAAGAAAUCAUUUGUUUGGUCUGCUACCGCUUGCGUCAUUUUUCUUUCUUGCAUCCAAAAUUCACUUCUGGUCUCCAUUUCAUGUAGGAUCACCCGCUGAACUUAACCAUAUCAAUAAGCGGAGGAAUCAUAAACCGAAGAAAA